This 373-nucleotide ribosomal RNA is filed under the name uncultured bacterium. Its description in RNAcentral is "bacterial SSU rRNA". It matches the Rfam family "Bacterial small subunit ribosomal RNA", at positions 525 to 896 of the family's 1533-position model. The record is from RNAcentral.
ACAGAGACUGCAAGCGUUAUUCGGAUUCACUGGGCGUAAAGGGUGCGCAGGCGGCCAGGUGUGUCAGGUGUGAAAGCCCGAGGCUCAACCUCGGAAUUGCGCCUGAAACUGCUUGGCUAGAGCAUUGGAGAGGGUAGCGGAAUUCACGGUGUAGCAGUGAAAUGCGUAGAUAUCGUGAGGAACACCAGAGGCGAAGGCGGCUACCUGGACAAUUGCUGACGCUCAGGCACGAAAGCGUGGGGAGCAAAAGGGAUUAGAUACCCCUGUAGUCCACGCCCUAAACGGUGCACACUAGGUCUUGGAGGAUUCGACCCCUCCAGGGCCCAAGCUAACGCGUUAAGUGUGCCGCCUGAGGACUACGGCCGCAAGGCUA